GCAUUGGUGGUUCAGUGGAAGAAUUCUCGCCUGCCACAUGGGUGGUCCAGGUUCUUUUUCUGGCCAGUGCA
Non-coding RNA from Podarcis lilfordi (Lilford's wall lizard), 71 nucleotides. The record is from the annotation of a GenBank genome assembly. Lineage: Eukaryota; Metazoa; Chordata; Lepidosauria; Squamata; Lacertidae.